Molecule: non-coding RNA, 71 nt
Organism: Gymnothorax javanicus (giant moray)
Lineage: Eukaryota; Metazoa; Chordata; Actinopteri; Anguilliformes; Muraenidae
Source: the annotation of a GenBank genome assembly
GUGGCGGUGGCACAGUGGUUAAGUGUGCUUGACCUUGGAUCAAAAGGUCCUGAGUUCAAGUCCUUGUCACG